GUACCUACGGGAGGCAGCAGUGGGGAAUAUUGCACAAUGGGCGAAAGCCUGAUGCAGCAACGCCGCGUGAAGGAAGAAGGCCUUCGGGUCGUAAACUUCUGUCCUUGGGGAAGAAGAACUGACGGUACCCAAGGAGGAAGCCCCGGCUAACUACGUGCCAGCAGCCGCGGUAAUACGGAGGAUGCGAGCGUUAUCCGGAUUUAUUGGGUUUAAAGGGUGCGUAGGCGGUCCGUUAAGUCAGCGGUAAAAUUGCGGGGCUCAACCCCGUCGAGCCGUUGAAACUGGCAGACUUGAGUUGGCGAGAA
This 305-nucleotide ribosomal RNA is filed under the name uncultured bacterium. RNAcentral's name for it is "bacterial SSU rRNA". It matches the Rfam family "Bacterial small subunit ribosomal RNA", at positions 335 to 656 of the family's 1533-position model. The record is from RNAcentral.